GCGCCCGUAGCUCAGCUGGAUAGAGCGCCGGACUUCGAAUCCGUAGGUCGCAGGUUCGAAUCCUGCCGGGCGUGCCA
RNAcentral lists this transfer RNA (77 nucleotides) under Acidobacteriota bacterium. RNAcentral describes it as "tRNA-Arg". It matches the Rfam family "tRNA". Rfam says of the family: Transfer RNA (tRNA) molecules are approximately 80 nucleotides in length. Their secondary structure includes four short double-helical elements and three loops (D, anti-codon, and T loops). Further hydrogen bonds mediate the characteristic L-shaped molecular structure. tRNAs have two regions of fundamental functional importance: the anti-codon, which is responsible for specific mRNA codon recognition, and the 3' end, to which the tRNAs corresponding amino acid is attached (by aminoacyl-tRNA synthetases). tRNAs cope with the degeneracy of the genetic code in two manners: having more than one tRNA (with a specific anti-codon) for a particular amino acid; and 'wobble' base-pairing, i.e. permitting non-standard base-pairing at the 3rd anti-codon position. RNAcentral also lists the same sequence under 9 other names. Lineage: Bacteria; Pseudomonadati; Acidobacteriota. The record is from RNAcentral.